Molecule: ribosomal RNA, 253 nt
Filed under: uncultured bacterium
Lineage: Bacteria
Description: partial 16S ribosomal RNA
Rfam family: Bacterial small subunit ribosomal RNA
Source: RNAcentral
GACAUAGGUGGCGAACGUUAUCCGGAUUUAUUGGGCGUAAAGAGCUCGUAGGCGGUCUGUCGCGUCGGCUGUGAAAACUCGGGGCUCAACUCCGAGCUUGCAGUCGAUACGGGCAGGCUAGAGUUCGGCAGGGGAGACUGGAAUUCCUGGUGUAGCGGUGAAAUGCGCAGAUAUCAGGAGGAACACCGGUGGCGAAGGCGGGUCUCUGGGCCGAUACUGACGCUGAGGAGCGAAAGCGUGGGGAGCGAACAGG